AGAGCGAACGCUGGCGGCAGGCCUAACACAUGCAAGUCGAGCGCCGUAGCAAUACGGAGCGGCAGACGGGAGAGUAACACGUGGGAACGUACCCUUUGGUUCGGAACAACACAGGGAAACUUGUGCUAAUACCGGAUAAGCCCUUACGGGGAAAGAUUUAUCGCCAAAGGAUCGGCCCGCGUCUGAUUAGCUUGUUGGUGAGGUAACGGCUCACCAAGGCUACGAUCAGUAGCUGGUCUGAGAGGAUGAUCAGCCUCACUGGGACUGAGACACGGCCCAGACUCCUACGGGAGGCAGCAGUGGGGAAUAUUGGACAAUGGGCGCAAGCCUGAUCCAGCCAUGCCGCGUGGAUGAUGAAGGCCUUAGGGUUGUAAAGUCCUUUUAACGGGGAAGAUAAUGACGGUACCCGUAGAAUAAGCCCCGGCUAACUUCGUGCCAGCAGCCGC
This 446-nucleotide ribosomal RNA is filed under the name uncultured bacterium. Its description in RNAcentral is "SSU rRNA". It matches the Rfam family "Bacterial small subunit ribosomal RNA", at positions 26 to 518 of the family's 1533-position model. The record is from RNAcentral.